UACCCCUCUGAAACUGGUCUCCAUUGAAUUGGUUUGACUUUGUCCAUGAGAGAUCAGAAAAGGGACCUGGCUUCUAGGGGAAAACUCGGUCAUGGAACUGAAGGGACAGAGAGCAAAUGAAACCAAGCAAACCAGGGCUAACCCCAGUCACCCCUGGGGCACCCUCUCCAACACACCAGGGUGCCGCUGAAGGAAUGUUGUGGGUUUAUUGGCUAUGAAAUGGAAUGAUUGCAAGCCAGGGUUUGAAUGAAGGGGGCAAAUGCAGCCCCUCAAUCCUCCAUCCUGCCUCAGUAAAAUACAGCAAUUGGCUUCAUUGAAUACGGUGUGAGGAGAGGAGCUUCAAGGAGCAGCGCUCAGCUCUCCUGGGGAAAUAUUCCAAUAAAACCCAGUUUCCUACUGACAGUGAAAUAAUACAAAUAAUCGAACACUGGGAGAAAGAACUUCCCGGGUGGCUUCUGCAUUGUCCUGCGGGGGCGGAGGGAGCCGGGGAAGCCGAGUGACUCGAUCCUGAGAAAGGGAUGGUGGAAAUCACAGACAGACAAGCCCCACUGGGUUAUCAGGGACACCCAGUUCCAGGCAUUGGGGUACCCACCCGGUACAUACCCGGACGCUUAAGUCAAAUGACUUGAACGCUGCAGCUUGCCCCUAAUGCCUUUAGGAGUCUAGUCAACAACAACCGAAGCGACCUGCCCCCAAAUUCAGCGUCCACCGAGCGCUGACAAACCACUUCGGAACUCGGCGAAAGUUUCUCCUGGCAAAAUCCGGCCGGAGCGCGACUGAACGGUCCGGCUCUGAGCCGGGAGACAAGCGCUCAGCGGCGCCCGGACCUGCCGGGAAGGCAUUGGGCGAGGGGAGCGGAGCACCACGAAGGCGCUCCGGAGCCGUGCACUUACCCAGGCGAGGAGGCAGCUGAGCACCGAGAGCCAAAGGCAGGCUGCUGGCGGCUCCAUGCCGGCUGGGGUGGAGGAGAAAGGGGGCCCCCCGGUUCCGGUGCCCCCCACGCCAGCGGCUUGCUGCCCCGCUCCCUUCCUGCGGCGGGGAGUUCAGGCGAGGCAGAGGGGAUCCUCCGGGCGAGGGAUCCCGGCCCGGGCUGAAGUUGGGUGUUUCCUUUCCGGGAUCCCGGCGGAACGCACCUGCCGCGGCUCAGCGCUGCCGAGCCCGAGCCAUCUCCGCUCCUCCGCGCUGCCCCGGUGCCACUGGGAGCCUCCGCCCGCGCUCCUCGCAGCGAAUCCCGGGCCGGAGGAGGGAGGAGGGUCACGCCGCAGCCGGGCGGCCACCCGCUGCUGGAGCCACCCCUGCCCGGGCUCCGCCCUCCGGCUGGGGCGGACGGGCGCUGGGGGGCUCGCCGCGCCGGCCAAUGGGAGCAGGCAGGUGGCCAGGAAUCCGGGCUGCGGGAGGGCUGCGGGAGUAGGCGGGGGGGGCGCCGCGGGGCUGGAGCGAUGGAUCCAGGGCAGGCAAGUGCCGCGGAACCGGGGGCGGGAUGUUCCGACAGUUCAGUCCGGGCUCGGUGCGGAGCUGGGCGGCCCCGCCCGGUGCACGUGUGAGCAGGGACAGGGACGCCGCCUGUUUGCGCCUUCCCCGCUGCAGCGUGCCAAGAAACAAGCCUGCUCCGGCCUCCACCUGACGCUAAGCCCAGCCCGGGGAGCUCGCGCAUUAAGCCUCACCUCUCCCCCGCGGAUCUGUCUGUCUGAUGAUGCAUGCAGCCCAUAA
This 1710-nucleotide long non-coding RNA is filed under the name Chrysemys picta bellii (western painted turtle). Its description in RNAcentral is "lncRNA (ENSCPBG00000004371.1)". Lineage: Eukaryota; Metazoa; Chordata; Testudines; Emydidae. The record is from RNAcentral.